This 394-nucleotide unclassified non-coding RNA is filed under the name soil metagenome. Its description in RNAcentral is "partial contains 5.8S ribosomal RNA, internal transcribed spacer 2, and large subunit ribosomal RNA". The stretch from base 1 to 121 matches the Rfam family "5.8S ribosomal RNA", at positions 35 to 154 of the family's 154-position model. The record is from RNAcentral.
GAUGAAGACGUAGCGAAAUGCGAUACUUGGUGUGAAUUGCAGAAUCCCGUGAACCAUCGAGUCUUUGAACGCAAGUUGCGCCCGAAGCCAUCAGGUUGAGGGCUCGUCUGCCUGGGCGUCACAUAUCGUUGCCCAAUGCCUAUUGCAGUGCAAUAGGAAUUUCUAGGGCGAAUGAUGGCUUCCCGUGAGCGUUGUUGCCUCGCGGUUGGUUGAAAAUCGAGUCCUUGGUAGGGUGUGCCAUGGUAGAUGGUGGUCGAGUUAGAACGAUACCGAUCAUGUGCAUGCUCCCCAAAAUAUGGCCUCUAUGACCCACACGCGUCUUUUGACGCUCAUGACGAGACCUCAGGUCAGGCGGGGCUACCCGCUGAAUUUAAGCAUAUCAAUAAGCGGAGGA